RNAcentral lists this ribosomal RNA (460 nucleotides) under Funneliformis coronatus. Its description in RNAcentral is "LSU rRNA". It matches the Rfam family "Eukaryotic large subunit ribosomal RNA", at positions 358 to 668 of the family's 3401-position model. Lineage: Eukaryota; Fungi; Glomeromycota; Glomeromycetes; Glomerales; Glomeraceae. The record is from RNAcentral.
GGAAAGAUGAAAAGAACUUUGAAAAGAGAGUUAAAUAGUACGUGAAAUUGUUGAAAGGGAAACGAUUGAAGUCAGUCAUACCAACGGGAAAUCAACCUUUUGAACUUUGUCUCGUGGGUUCGAAGGGUUUAAACGCCUUCGGGUUCGCGAGAUUGGGAUCUUCUGGUGUACUUUCUCGUACGGUUAGUCAACAUCGGUUUUGAAUGUCAUAAAAUGACUGGAGGAAUGUGGCUUCGAUCUCGUAUCGAAGUGUUAUAGCCUUUGGUAGACGUGAUGUUUGAGACCGAGGAUUGCAACGGAUACCCUUUAAGGGCUAUUCGUCUGAUCUCUGAUACGUUGCCUUGACGUUGAAAGCUUGCUUAUGAUGUUAGGGUAUUACGGUCAUAAGGUUAGAACGGAUUAAAUUCGUUAAGGAUGUUGACGUAAUGACUUUAAACGACCCGUCUUGAAACACGGACCA